AGCAGCUGUAAUUGGCGACAUGUAUUGCCAUUGUCAUGUGGUACACGUCGUGUAGGAUAUAGUUUCUGUUAGCAAAUAAACUAACCAAUGACUCUUAUCUUCUUGCAGAAUUCAUUUAGACAAAUAAAGACCUUGACUCUCCAAAAACCAAACCAACAUAGAUAUUAUCUUCUACGCAGCCAUCUUCUUAACAAUUCUCCUCACCCUCUUCACCCUACUCCACCAAGGCAAGAACUCAUCACCUUGUCCUCCCUCUCUCCCUACACUUGCCUAUCUCCACCUCCUAAAGAAACCAUUC
Molecule: long non-coding RNA, 298 nt
Filed under: Phoenix dactylifera (date palm)
Lineage: Eukaryota; Viridiplantae; Streptophyta; Magnoliopsida; Arecales; Arecaceae
Description: long non-coding RNA (PDAC_LNC011456)
Source: RNAcentral